RNAcentral lists this long non-coding RNA (4164 nucleotides) under Macaca mulatta (Rhesus monkey). RNAcentral describes it as "lncRNA (ENSMMUG00000059621.1)". Lineage: Eukaryota; Metazoa; Chordata; Mammalia; Primates; Cercopithecidae. The record is from RNAcentral.
AUGGAUCAAGAAAGAGUAUUCUCUUCCCACUGGAGGAUGACUUGGCUGAAAGAGAUCUGUCAGAAGAGUCAAGGCAUUAAGAGUCCUGGAAAAUAUUCUGAAUUCUGGGACAAUUCAGAAAAUGUCCCUGCUCUCAUGGCACUUGAGUUUGUGACUGGAAGAUAGAUACUAUCAACAGACACAUCGAGCUGUAAAACAAUUCUAGCUAAUGAUAAGCACAUUUGAAGAAAAAUAAAGGUAAGGAAGAAAUCAGAGUGCAACUGAAGAGAGGUGGCUGAGGGACGAGGGCAAAGGUUAUGGUUAAGCUGAGGUGAUUAGGGAAGGUUUGAGGAUAUGGAAGCUGCGGUUUGAACAGAUGCUCUGGGAGAAAAGGAAGAAGAGGCAGAGUGGAGAGUGUGGGAUUGCUUAUGGAAGAUUAGAGAGUGAUAAUUCCAGGGUCAUGCCAUUGCAUGGGAGAAGUAGACAGAAGUAGUGAGAAGUGGCAGAAACUUGCAAAAGAAACACAGAGACAAGCUUAGAUAAUCAAAUAUGUGCAGCUGUGUUUUGGUCUCAGUGUUUUCUUCUUACUCAUAACAAAUAAAGUUAGAUUAAUUUAGUAGCACAUUUUCAUCAUCAGAAUAUAUCCCCCCCACCAACCUCCGGUACUUUCUUCUUUCCUUCCAGAAGGGUGUAUUGUUGGAGAUGUUAAUUUAACCAGAAAAGCUGAAACCGACAAUGUGGAACGUUCAUUCGCUUGCCAUUGAGGCCCUGAAUGUUACAAAACCCAUUUGUGACAGGUCUAAUAUGUCUCUCUUUACUGGUAAAUUAUCAUUUAUCCUGCAAGGUGUGAGAACUUAAUCCUUUGCAUUUAAGGAGCUCAUAGCUUGAGCACUGCAAUGAUCAACCCAUUAAUUCUUUUUCUUGAGAGACUAAAAAAACGUGCUUAAAAUGUGCCCAUGUCCUUUUCUUGGUGUCACCAUAGUCUUAACUCUGCUGACUGAGGUUUAACCGACUUGUGAUGUAUUUUCUCUCUGGUCUUCUUGAUGUUGCUACUGUGUUGGGCAGAGCUUUGCUCACUCAGCACCUUAAUAAAGCAAAACAAAAUAUUUCACUUUGUAUUUCCACAAGUUCAAAUAUCUUAGGAGGUGGCAGGAAAUAAUGGAAAGAGUAAGGAUGUUUACAAUCAGACCAUUUUGGGUUCUAACUGUACAGUGACAUCAUUUACUAGCUAUUUGAGCUUGAACAAGUCAUUUUAACUCCCUGAGCCUCAGCUUCCUCUUGCCCAAAAUACAGCAAUAAGUGCUACCUUGUUUGUUCGUAUUAAGGACGAGAUAGAAUAUGGUACCUGGAUGUCAGGCCCUGGGAAGUGAUUAAGUCAUUCAGUUAGUAUUAACCCAUCCUUUAAAAUUUAACAUUAAUCAAUAUUAGUUUAUUAACAUCACCCAUUAUACAUUAAAUAGGCCAGCAUCCCUCCUGGUAUCUUUCAGGAUCUGAGUAUUUGCAUGUUUUACCUGAGCCCUUCUGGCCUUAAUCCCUGGUUCUGCCUCACUGUUGACCUCAGAUCUGCCUAACAGUUUGGUCUGCUGCCCCCACUUUUUUUCCGUUCUUACCUGGAGAAAAUUAAAAACAAAAAAACAAAAACUUCAGUAUGCUGAUCAACUUUCUCUGGUUUUGUUAAAGAAUACUAUAUUAGUCUGUUCUCAUACUGCUGUAAAGAACUAUCUGAGACUGGGUAGUUUAUGAAGAAAAGAGGUUUAAUUGACUCACAGUUCCACAGGGCUGAGGAGACCUCAGGAAACUGACAGUCAUGGUGGAAGGCGAAGGGGAAGUAAGCCCCCUGUUUCACAUAGUGGCAGGAGAGAGUGAGAGCAAAGGGGAAGGUGCCAAAACUUUUAAACAACCAGAUCUCAUGAGAACUCUAUCAUGAGACAGCACUACGGUUAUGUUGCGAAACUAUUGGAAACUCCCUCCAUGAUCCAAUCAUCUUCCACCAGGACCCUCCCCGGACAUGUGGGGAUUACAGUGUGACAUGAGAUUUGGGUGGAAACACAACGCCAAACCAUAUCAAAUGCAUUUUUCAAAAAGGUAAAAACUGUGUUUUUUUUUUCUCUGUAGGAGCCCAUUCCUGGCUUAUCCUGGUCAUGCACAGAUAGACUAUUUUCACAGUAUCUAAAUUGUUCAUCAAUGAUACAGCAUCACUAAAUGGAGAUCUGUUCUUUCUUCCCAGAGGAAUAAUACUGCAUCGUCCUUUGCCUUUUUCUGUCAUGUUAAAUACUUGGCACAUUGUACACAUUCAAUAAUUACUACUUCCCCUUUACCCUUCCUGACUUGUUCUUCAAUUCUCAGCUCAGAUUCUAUGGCUGUUACAUGCUUUGCAUUGUUUCCCUGAGCUAAAAGUAUUCUUCCCACUCUGAAUUUUCACAUCUUUGUACUGCAACUGCUCCAUCACAGCAAUAAGAAUGUUAAAUGUCCUGAGAGAUGCUGGUGCUUUACCUCCCCUACUUCUUGAAGCUAUGCAAAGGACUACUUUUAGUGUCUCUAAGUAAGCAGUCUUCAAACUUUUUGGAACCAAGGACUGGUUUCAUGAAAGACAGUUUUUCCACAGACUGGGGGCAGGAGAUUGUUUUGGGAUGAUUCAAGCACAUUACAUUUAUUGUGUACUUUAUUUCUAUUAUCAUUACAUUGUUUUAUAUAAUGAAAUAAUUAUGCAACUUACCAUAUUGUAGAAUCAGUGUGAGCCCUGAGCUUGUUUUCCUUCAAUUAGGUAGUUCCCAUCUGGGGGUGAUGAGAGACAGUGACAGAUCAUCAGGCAUUAGAUUCUCAUAGUGAGUGUGCAACCUAGAUCCCUUGCGUGUGUGGUUCACAAUAGGGUUUAUGCUCUAUGAGAUUCUAAUGCCACUGCUGAUCUGACAGGAGGUAGAGCUCAGGUGGUAAUGCAAGCGAUGGGGAGUGGCAGCAACUACAGAGGAAGCUUCACUUCCUCACCCGCCACUCACCUCCUGCUGUUUGGCCCGGUUCCUAUCAGGCCACAGAUGGGUACCUGGGGAUUGGGAACUCCUGCUCUAAAUAUCCUCACAGAAUCUACCACAGAUAAUUGAACUUAUUUUGUUCGUAUGCAAGGUUGAACUAACUCAAGGAAAAUAGAGUGAUAAAGUGAAAUUAUGGCUUCAGGUAUAUUUGUAUUUUGAUCAUCCCUAAAUCUCAAUUUAGCAUCAGAAUGUGACUGAAAAAAAUAGAGUCAAUGGCAUAGAAUUUGAAAGGAAGCAGAGAAGAUAAGACAAGAAGUCCUUUGAAAUCUUUCUAAUUACAGGUUUUGUUGAGAAGAUAAAAAUUACUUUUACUCAGGGAGUGAGAUCAAGACAGGGAGGUUAUUUAAUUGCAUUUCAUAAAAUAGAAAAAGAAUCUUAUUGUUUCUCAACCUGUUUGUCAUUGUUAUAAUCAGUCAUGUAGAACUGUAUUUCUCAAAGUGGGUUUCAUGGUCUACCUGCAUUAAAAUCAUCUGAGGGCCUGUUAAAGUAGCUUUUCAAAGUAGUUUAUUUAUUUAUUUAUUUUUUGGCAUCACCCUCUUAAAUCAGAAUAUCUCAGGGUGAGUUGGGGGUAUAUCUCUCAAGAGUCUGAAAUUUUAUUGUAGACCUCAGGUGAUUUUUAGUCCUGCUGAAAUAUGAAAACUUGGCCAUAGAAAAUGCAUUAUUUUUAUAUUCAAGGAAAAUAUUAAGGGACUCUUUCUAGUAUGGCCAGAAGCAGUGCAGUUCAGUGAAAAUAGCAGAAAUUUGCAGUGCCACAGCUUCCAGAAGACCUAGGGUUUGACCAUUGCUUUUUUUUUUUUUUUUUUUUUUUUUUUUUUGAGACAGAGUUUUGCUUUGUCGCCCAGGCUGGAGUGCAGUGGCACGAUCUUGGCUCACUGCAAACUCUGCCUCCUGGGUUCACGCCAUUCUCCUGCCUCAGCCUCCUGAGUAACUGGGACUACAGGUGUCUGCCACCACAUCCGGCUAAUUUUUUGUAUUUUUAGUAGAGACAGGGUUUCACUGUGUUAGCCAGGAUGGUCUUGAUCUCCCGACCUCAUGAUUCACCCACCUCGGCCUCCCAAAGUGCUAAGAUUACAAGCGCAAACCACCGCAUGCUGCGUGACCAGUGCUUUUUCAUGAACUAGCAGAUCACUGGGUAAGUCUUCAAACCUCACUGACU